Molecule: ribosomal RNA, 308 nt
Filed under: uncultured bacterium
Lineage: Bacteria
Description: partial 16S ribosomal RNA
Rfam family: Bacterial small subunit ribosomal RNA
Source: RNAcentral
GAGACAGCAGCCGCCGCGGUAAUACGAGGGGGGCAAGCGUUGUUCGGAAUUAUUGGGCGUAAAGGGCGCGUAGGCGGUUUGGCAAGUUUGGUGUGAAAUCUUCGGGCUCAACUCGAAGUCUGCAUCGAAAACUGCCGGGCUUGAGUAUGGGAGAGGUGAGUGGAAUUUCCGGUGUAGCGGUGAAAUGCGUAGAUAUCGGAAGGAACACCUGUGGCGUAAGCGGCUCACUGGACCAUAACUGACGCUGAGGCGCGAAAGCUAGGGGAACAAACAGGAUUAGAUACCCCUGUAGUCCCUGUCUCUUAUAC